GCCUUCCCUCCCAGCAGCAAAAGCAGUCAGAGGACAAUGUUCCCUAGUCUAAUCUGCUCUUUCCUUCCUUCAUUCAUUCAGUCAUUCACUCAGCUGGCCAGCAAACACUGGAUGACCACACCUGGGCCAGGCCUUGUGGCAAAUGCUACAGUAAUGACCAGACACAUCACACCCGCCUUCUAGAAGCCCUCCCUCACAAACCGGAUCAACUGCUAUGAUAAAGAAGAACCCACCCAGGUAAUCACUGCUUGCUCAGAUCCCAGCAAAUUCUAGAUCCCAGAACUAGUGCUCUUAGAGCCAAGGCCAGCCGAUCCAAGUCUGGACCACUGCUCAGAUGAGCCAAGCCUGAAUUUGGGAGUGGUCGCGUUACAGAGCAUUACCCUGGCAAUAACUGACUGAUGCAGAGAUGUAAAUAGACAUCACUGGUGGAGCCCCCAGGAAAGCUCUUUAACAGAAGACAGACUCAGCUGGCAGGUUUUUUGCCCCUUUCCCUUCUCUUCCCUUGAAUGAAGACAGGCUCAAUGCUUGGAGGGGUGAGAGGAGGCAGCCGUCUUACAACCACAGGUCACAGGAAGACACUAAACAAGGCCGUGUGGAAAGACAGAAGGAGCCUCCAUCCCUCAGCACCACAGAGACAUUGUAUCAGCCUGGAAAUGCCUAAAUCUGAACUUCCUCUUACCUAAGAAAAAUAAAACCUCAAUUU
RNAcentral lists this non-coding RNA (703 nucleotides) under Pongo abelii (Sumatran orangutan). Lineage: Eukaryota; Metazoa; Chordata; Mammalia; Primates; Hominidae. The record is from RNAcentral.